GCUGGGUGCAGUGGUGCAUGCCUGUAAUCCCAGCCUCUUGGGAGGCUGAGGCAGGAGGAUCUUAAGAGUUCAAAGCCAGCCUCAGCAAAAGUGAGGCACUAAGUAACCCAGUGAGACCCUGCCUCUA
Molecule: small RNA, 127 nt
Filed under: Marmota monax (woodchuck)
Lineage: Eukaryota; Metazoa; Chordata; Mammalia; Rodentia; Sciuridae
Source: RNAcentral